UGGGGAAUUUUGGGCAAUGGGCGAAAGCCUGACCCAGCAACGCCGCGUGAAGGAUGAAGUCUCUCGGGAUGUAAACUUCGUAAGAAUAGGAAGAAUAAAUGACGGUACUAUUUGUAAGGUCCGGCUAACUACGUGCCAGCAGCCGCGGUAAUACGUAGGGACCAAGCGUUGUUCGGAUUUACUGGGCGUAAAGGGCGCGUAGGCGGCGUGGUAAGUCACUUGUGAAAUCUCCGAGCUUAACUCGGAACGGUCAAGUGAUACUGCUGUGCUAGAGUACAGAAGGGGCAAUCGGAAUUCUUGGUGUAGCGGUGAAAUGCGUAGAUAUCAAGAGGAACACCUGAGGUGAAGACGGGUUGCUGGGCUGAUACUGACGCUGAGGCGCGAAAGCUAGGGUAGCAAACGGGAUUAGAUACCCCUGUAGUCCCUGAGCGGGCUGGCAAGGCGCAU
This 447-nucleotide ribosomal RNA is filed under the name uncultured bacterium. RNAcentral describes it as "bacterial SSU rRNA". It matches the Rfam family "Bacterial small subunit ribosomal RNA", at positions 355 to 825 of the family's 1533-position model. The record is from RNAcentral.